AAAAUCUGGGAAUUCUGACUCCACACUGACUCUUGGAACUCCAAUUUGGGAAUUGUCACCCCACAUUUACCCUUGGCACCCCAAAAUCCGGGAAUUCCGACCCCACAGAGACCCCCGGAACCCCCCCGGGACCCCCGGAGCCGGAGCUGACCGUCUACGCCGAGGUGGGAGAGAAGAAACCUCGCCAGCACCCCGCUGGGACCAUCGAGGCCACUCAGGAAGGAGCCACCGUCUACGCCGUGGUCAGUCCCAGGAUGCUGGAGCACCCCAGGCACCGGGAGGAACCCGGGAAUUUCACCCUCUACUCCAUGGUCCAGUUCAGCCGGAAGCCUUCCUCCAAGGGGAAGAGGCUGGACCCAGCUUUGGUCUCCACCGCCUACUUGGAGGAUAACAGGGGUUACAGGCGCCCCUAAAACCCCGGAAUUCCCAUCCCCGUGGAAUUCUUCUCCCGGCAACUCCAGCGGCCGCUGGGAUCCCACCCGAUGGAUCAGAAAUAUCCAGAAAUUCGGGGUUUUCCCCCAAGAUUCAACCCCUGGCUGUGCCUUGGAGCGAAGAUUUGGGGAUGGGAAAGCGCGGAAGGGAUGGAUUUGGGAUUGGGCAGACGGGAUGGGCGGGGAGCGGGAAUUUUGUGGGGUUGGAAAGUUUGGGAAUCCUUGGAUUUUCUUCUUCUUGGUGCAAAUACUGCUGAGCUGCACAAUGAACCUGUUUAAUUAAUUAAUUGGCUGAUGAGAGCCUGGAUUACUCCUCG
This 748-nucleotide long non-coding RNA is filed under the name Chloebia gouldiae (Gouldian finch). Its description in RNAcentral is "Erythrura gouldiae (Gouldian finch) lncRNA (ENSEGOG00005009487.1)". Lineage: Eukaryota; Metazoa; Chordata; Aves; Passeriformes; Passeridae. The record is from RNAcentral.